GCUGGGUACAGUGGUGCACACCUGUAAUCUUAGCAACUUGGGAGGCUGAGGCAGGAGGAUGGCGAGUUCAAGGACAGCCUGGAAAAUUUAAUGAGACCCUGUCUCAA
RNAcentral lists this small RNA (107 nucleotides) under Marmota monax (woodchuck). Lineage: Eukaryota; Metazoa; Chordata; Mammalia; Rodentia; Sciuridae. The record is from RNAcentral.